This 401-nucleotide ribosomal RNA is filed under the name uncultured bacterium. RNAcentral's name for it is "bacterial SSU rRNA". It matches the Rfam family "Bacterial small subunit ribosomal RNA", at positions 29 to 416 of the family's 1533-position model. The record is from RNAcentral.
AACGAACGUUGGCGGCGUGGAUGAGGCAUGCAAGUCGAACGCGAAAGCCGCAAGGCGAGUAAAGUGGCGGACGGGCGAGUAACACGUAAUCAAGCUGCCUGCGAGACGGGGAUAACUUCGGGAAACCGAAGCUAAGACCCGAUGGCCUUGGGAGAUCGCAUGUUUUCCCAAGUAAAUGGGCGGGACCUUUCGGGGUCGCCUGCUCGCAGAGGUGAUUGCGGCCCAUCAGCUAGUUGGUAGGGUAAUGGCCUACCAAGGCAACGACGGGUAGCCGGCCUUAGAGGGUGGUCGGCCGCACUGGGACUGAGACACUGCCCAGACUCCUACGGGAGGCUGCAGUCGAGAAUCUUCCGCAAUGGGCGAAAGCCUGACGGAGCGACGCCGCGUGGAGGAUGAAGGCC